Molecule: non-coding RNA, 2512 nt
Organism: Oryctolagus cuniculus (rabbit)
Lineage: Eukaryota; Metazoa; Chordata; Mammalia; Lagomorpha; Leporidae
Source: RefSeq, a predicted model, not a curated record
CCUUUUGCCAUUGGUUCACCCUCCAAUGGCCGCUGCGGCUGGCGCGCUGCGGCUGGCGCACCGUGCUGAUCCGAAGCCAGGAGCCAGGUGCUUCUGGACUCCCAUGCAGGUGCAGGGCCCAAGCACUUGGGCCGUCCUCCACUGCACUCCCAGGCCACAGAAGAGAGCUGGCCUGGAAGAGGGGCAACCGGGACAGAAUCCGGCGCCCCGACUGGGACUAGAACCUGGUGUGCUGGUGCUGCAAGGCGGAGGAUUAGCCUAUUGAGCCACGGUGCCGGCCAGGAUAGUACUUUUAAAGGGAAUGUAUGGAAUUAUUUCUGAGAAGUGUGUUAUAUAUACUCAACAUUUUUAAAUUGUAAUGAGAACAUCACAUUCCUCAUAUUCUCUAAAACCUUUAGAUGUUUUAAUUUUGAUAAUCUGAUAGAUAAAUAAAUAUUUGAAUUUUUAUUUCCCUAAAUAUUAGUGAGAUUGAAUACAUUUUCGUACUUGCAUUUUCUUUUCUAUGAAUUGACUACUACCUUGUUUGGGGUCUAACUUCUUAUUGGACUGCUUGUCCUUUUCUAAUUGAAUUAUAGGAAUAUUUUGAAUAAUACUGAUGAAAUUUUUUAUUUCCAUCACAUUGCCAAUAUUUUCUCCUGGGGUGUCCCCGUCUAUUCAUUGUCAGCACUUUUUGUUUUUAAUUUAUCAGAAGUGUUAAUGUUUGCUAUCGCCAAACUUAGAAAAUUUUGUGUCUUUUCCUAAGAUCUCCCCUGUUCCAAGGCUGUAACUACAGUCUGUUACUUUCUUUAUUAUUCUGUGUUGUCUUUUACAUUUAGGCAUUUAAUACAUAUAAUACUUAAUAUUAUAUUUGCUGUAUAGAACAAUAUAAUGUUUUUUCAAAAUAUUUACACAGUUUACUGGAAAGCAUUUAUGGAAUAAUCCGCCAUUUCUCUAUUGAUAUAAAACCCUGCCUCUCUCAUGAUCUAAUUAACAAAAUAUAUCUGGACCAGUUUCUGGAUUGUCUAUUCAUCUGAUGUGGUUGUUUAUUCCUUAGCCAACUCCACAUAUUUUAAUUACUACUAUGUUUUAUAAUACAAUUUAAUGACUUGAAAAUCAUCUCCUUUUAUUUUUAAAUAUUGCUUUGACUAUCACUAUGCAUAUUCUCUCUCUCUUUUUUUUUUUUUUUUUUUUGACAGAGUUAGAGAGAGACAGAGAGAAAGGUCUUCCUUUUCCGUUGGUUCACCCUCCAAGUGGCCAGAUCCAAAGCCAGGAGCCAGAUGCUUCCUCGGGGUCUCCAAUACGGGUGCAAGGCCCAUGCACUUGGGCCAUCCUCCACUGCCUUCCCAGGCCAUAGCAAAGAGCUGGACUGGAAGAGGAGCAACAGGGACAGAAUCUGGCGCCCCGACCGGGACUGGAACCCGGGGUCCUGGCGCUGCAGGUGGAGGAUUAGCCUAGUUAGAGAAUUAAUGGUAAGCAGUUGAAAACCUAGAGACCCAGGGAAGCACAGCUGGAAAGCACUCAGAUCUGAACAAAUUCCAUUUCCCACCGGGUGGCAUACCAUUGCCUACCAAACAGGAAAAUGGAUUCCUUUUGACACUGAUAGCGCUGGACCUCAAGUGUGCAUUGGCAUCGCCUGGGAAAUUGUUUGAAGCACCGGCGGUUGGACCCCACCUCAGUCAGUUACAGCAGAACCCUCAGGGAAAAAAAUCAUUGUCUGUACCUUGUUUUCAAGCUACUUUAUGAAUUUGUGGAAGCAGACAUCGAAAAAGCGUGCCUGAGAUGCAGAAGGGUUACAAGCUCAACAGCAAUGCAAAUAUGGCACAGGGGAGAAAGAGGCCAUUCCCUGAGACUGUACAGGAUGCUGUAAAAAUCACAAAGGGCUUCCUGGAGGAAGAGGCAUUUGUUCCAGGCCUUGACUGCUGAGCAACUGCUCUUGGUGACAAAUGCACCUGUUGCUGAGGGAAGAGUGACAGAGGCUGAGAACAGCUUCAGAGUACAUACAAGCAGUUCACGGGUUUGAUAUGAACUAAUGACGCUGUAGAAGAUAGCUUUCAGUACCUGGGACAGCGGCAGGUGUGCCUCCAUCAGGAAGAGCAGCCCAGGGGCUGGGGCACGAGGGGUGAGCCUGGGGAGAAGUAUAAAGACCCGUUCAGGUCAUUUGUGGAGGACAGUGCCUAGAAAGAGGAGCAUGCAUUUGAGUGGCCCAGACCUCCUGGGCAAGGGAAGCUUCUGAUACCAAAUUCAAAUUCUCCAUCCAUCUGGACUUUGUGAGAAGAAAUUAGUUAUGGAAUCAUAAAAUCUGGAUUCCUUGUUCUGACAUUGCCAUAAACAAGCUGCAUCCCUCUAGGCAGGGAACUCAACAUCCUGGGACCUCCAUUGUUCUCAUCCGCAAUCAUGUCAAGAGGGAAGCUUCUGAAUCAGAACCAUCCCGGGGUUUUGGUGUCUUUUGCAAUCGGAUCAGACAUCUGAGUGAAGACUGGAAACUGUCCACUGCUAUUCACUGUGUAGCUGCCAAACCUGCUGCACUCCUGGG